ACUAUCUGGUUUAGUGUGCAAUUGAUUGGCCGAAUGCAAAAGAAAUAAGAAUUGAUUUCAUGAUUUUCGUCAUUUGUGUUUGCAGGUUUCAUAUGCCAUGAACGAAACAGCAAGCAAUAAAACUUGAGCAAUACAAAGGAAAAAAUGGUUUCAGUCGAGUCAAAGGUUAAACGCAGAAGGUUGAUGCCAGAUCAACUGGUAUGUGUACUACCGAAAGUUGAUAUCAGAUAUUUUGACUGGUGUUACCUCAAGAACAGAUCUACAAUGUCUGAAGCCCCAGGGAUUGGUAUGCACAUGGGUUAGCUGCCUUGGAAUAACAGAUCCAAAAGUUUCACUGGAGAAACAGCUUGAGCAUAUAAGGAAGGUUGCUAACCUAGGACAAUUUGAAGGCAGAAUUGGAAAGUGUGAAAAGAUUUUCAUUCCAAUGCUUGAGAAGUAUGAUCACGACGAUGUUGGGCACUGGUACUUGUUGGUCAUACAUCCGAAGGACCGUUAUGCUAAAAUAUUGGAUAGUUCUCCAUGGAGAGUUGAGCAACGCCAACUAGACGCACGUAGAGUGAUGCGCAUGGUCGAUGACAUUUUUUGGGAAGAUUUCCUUGUUGUUGAGGAUGCACCACGAAGUGUAUGAAGUCUUCCUUUUAAAGAACCUCAUGAUACUGGUCCAAGGCAAAAAGGCAGUACAGACUGCGGGAUAUAUGUCAUGAGAAACAUGGAAAUAUAUGGGACUGAUUGGGCUGCCAAUUAUGAUUCGGAAACCGAGCGAGCAUGUUUGGUGAUCGAUUUUCUUAGGAAUGUGAAGAAUGAGGUCAGUGACUGCAGUUAAAAGUGGACCACUCCUUGCUUUCAAUGGAGGCAAAGUGAAGAUAAUGGAAGGUAUAAGAUGGGAAAGGGAGAAACUUUGGGUUUGAAGCAUGAGGGUAGGCCGUUAGAACUGUUAUCAGAUGAUCCUACAGUUUGAGCAAGUGUAGGACUGUUGUAGCUAAAGAGGCGUUGAGUUUCUGUUCUGAUUGUUAGUCUGUUGGUGUUUUCAUUCCAUGUUUGUCAAUAAGCCUGAUAUUAGGGACUUUUUCCGUUGUGUUUGAUUGUUUCCAGUUCAUGCACCAUGCUUCUAGGUAGUGUUCGGCGUGGGUUGUCUUUUGAAUUCCAAUUUCUUUAUAAGUAAAACGUUGUCAUAAUAAUGAAAUAUUAACUA
Argentina anserina (silverweed cinquefoil) is the source of this 1192-nucleotide long non-coding RNA. RefSeq lists it as uncharacterized. The transcript is spliced from 6 exons. Lineage: Eukaryota; Viridiplantae; Streptophyta; Magnoliopsida; Rosales; Rosaceae. The record is from RefSeq and is a predicted model, not a curated record.